GGUGGUGCCGAUGCCUAGUCUAGCCAGGGCUGACCGGGCCGCGCCCGCCUCGUGACCACUGUGGGGCUGCGCUGCGGGAAAGGUGCUGACGAGGCGGGCGCGCGAGCUCGGCGGGGAGGGGUGCGGCCGGUCGGCGGCUGGCCGGUCCCCGACUUCCCGGCACCCUGGGCGACCGCUCCCUCGUGCGAGCGGGACCACGCCUGGACCGGGGCCCGCAGGUUUUACAGGGCAGCGGGGGGGAUUUGGGGCACGUGGGGUCGGGCCGCACCCCGACCUCGAGACGGCGCGGCGCUGCGAGCAAAGAGCCGUCGCGCCCGGAGCCAGUCAGCUCCGGCCAGGUCGGGGAGGAGGAGGGCACGCGCCGGGAGGACCGCGACUGGCCGCCUGGAGCCCGUGGCUCAGGCUUUCCCAGCCGCUGUUUUCCCCUUUGUACAUCGGGAUCCGCUUCGCACACUUAGUUUCUGCCUAGCACAUAGAGUGGCUUUGGUUAGGAAAAAGGUGGCAAAGGGCCCAUCCCUGAACUGAUUAGUUGAGCCUGGGACCUGAUCAGAAUUGAGGGGAGGAGUGUUACCAGAAUUUUCUCUGUGCCCCGCACUUGCAUAAGUGCUUAUGGCUAGGAGCCCUGUGUAGGGCACACAUUACCUUGGGGCGCCCUUCGCUUCUUUCUCCUCUUGCUGCCCCUUCCCGGAAUCUCUCACCUCAUGACGUGACUAUGGUCAAGUCAUCGUUUCUGGGAUGGCCUGACCCCUGGGGACACGCCAGCCUCCAGGAGCUUAUAUGAGGCUGGUUUACCAGAGUAGACAGUGUAAGGCCCUGUCCUGGAAGGAGGAACAUGAAUAUGUCCUG
This 846-nucleotide long non-coding RNA is filed under the name Homo sapiens (human). Its description in RNAcentral is "HSALNT0033714". The record is from RNAcentral. Lineage: Eukaryota; Metazoa; Chordata; Mammalia; Primates; Hominidae.